UACGUAGGGUGCAAGCGUUAAUCGGAAUUACUGGGCGUAAAGCGUGCGCAGGCGGUUUUGUAAGUCUGACGUGAAAUCCCCGGGCUCAACCUGGGAAUUGCGUUGGAGACUGCAAGGCUAGAAUCUGGCAGAGGGGGGUAGAAUUCCACGUGUAGCAGUGAAAUGCGUAGAGAUGUGGAGGAACACCGAUGGUGAAGGCAGCCCCCUGGGUCAAGAUUGACGCUCAUGCACGAAAGCGUGGGGAGCAAACAGG
RNAcentral lists this ribosomal RNA (253 nucleotides) under uncultured bacterium. Its description in RNAcentral is "partial 16S ribosomal RNA". It matches the Rfam family "Bacterial small subunit ribosomal RNA", at positions 524 to 776 of the family's 1533-position model. The record is from RNAcentral.